UACGUAGGGUGCAAGCGUUGUCCGGAAUUAUUGGGCGUAAAGAGCUCGUAGGCGGUUUGUUGCGUCGGCUGUGAAAUCCCGAGGCUCAACCUCGGGUCUGCAGUCGAUACGAGCAAACUAGAGUGUUGCAGGGGAGACUGGAAUUCCUGGUGUAGCGGUGAAAUGCGCAGAUAUCAGGAGGAACACCGGUGGCGAAGGCGGGUCUCUGGACGGUUUCUGACGCUAAGACGCGAAAGCGUGGGGAGCAAACAGG
This 253-nucleotide ribosomal RNA is filed under the name uncultured bacterium. RNAcentral describes it as "partial 16S ribosomal RNA". It matches the Rfam family "Bacterial small subunit ribosomal RNA", at positions 524 to 776 of the family's 1533-position model. The record is from RNAcentral.